This is a non-coding RNA of Myotis brandtii (Brandt's bat), 76 nucleotides long. The record is from Rfam. Lineage: Eukaryota; Metazoa; Chordata; Mammalia; Chiroptera; Vespertilionidae.
GGCGGUUCUUGGGUGACGCACCCCAGAAUCAGGCUCCCUCCUGUCUGGCUCCAGGGUACGUCACCCAAGAACCGCU